Molecule: unclassified non-coding RNA, 345 nt
Filed under: soil metagenome
Description: partial contains 5.8S ribosomal RNA, internal transcribed spacer 2, and large subunit ribosomal RNA
Rfam family: 5.8S ribosomal RNA (bases 1-120)
Source: RNAcentral
GAUGAAGAACGUAGCGAAAUGCGAUAAGUAGUGUGAAUUGCAGAAUUCAGUGAAUCAUCGAAUCUUUGAACGCACAAUGCGCCCCCUGGUAUUCCGGGGGGCAUGCCUGUCCGAGCGUCAUUGCUGCCCUCAAGCACGGCUUGUGUGUUGGGCCUCCGUCCUCCUCCCGGGGGACGGGCCCGAAAGGCAGCGGCGGCACCGCGUCCGGUCCUCGAGCGUAUGGGGCUUCGUCACCCGCUCUUGUAGGCCCGGCCGGCGCUUGCCGACACAUCAAUCUUUUUUCCAGGUUGACCUCGGAUCAGGUAGGGAUACCCGCUGAACUUAAGCAUAUCAAUAAGCGGAGGA